This 498-nucleotide ribosomal RNA is filed under the name uncultured bacterium. RNAcentral describes it as "partial 16S ribosomal RNA". It matches the Rfam family "Bacterial small subunit ribosomal RNA", at positions 28 to 507 of the family's 1533-position model. The record is from RNAcentral.
GACGAACGCUGGCGGCGUGCCUAAUACAUGCAAGUCGUGCGGAGCUUUUAAAAGCUUGCUUUUAAAAGGUUUGAGGGGGAAGGGUGAGUAACACGUGGGCAACCUGCCUGUAAGACUGGGAUAAAGCCGGGAAACCGUGGCCAAUACCGGAUCGUUUUUCCUCCGCAUGGAGGACAAAGGAAAGGCGGCUUCGGCUGCCAUUGACAGCUGGGCCCGCGGCGAAUUAGCUAGUUGGCGGGGUAACGGCCCACCAAGGCAACGGUGCGUAGCCGAACUGAGAGGAUGAUCGGCCACAUUGGGACUGGGACACGGCCCAAACUCCUACGGAAGGCAGCAGUAGGGAAUCUCCCGCAAUGGCCGAAAGUCUGACGGAGCAACGCCGCGUGAGUGCAGAAGGCCUUCGGGUCGUAAAACUCUGUUGCCGGGGAAGAACAAGUGCCGUUCGAACAGGGCGGCGCCUUGACGGUACCCGGCCAGAAAGCCACGGCUAACUACGUG